Molecule: ribosomal RNA, 464 nt
Filed under: Escherichia coli
Lineage: Bacteria; Pseudomonadati; Pseudomonadota; Gammaproteobacteria; Enterobacterales; Enterobacteriaceae
Description: bacterial LSU rRNA
Rfam family: Bacterial large subunit ribosomal RNA
Source: RNAcentral
GGGUUGUGAGGUUAAGCGACUAAGCGUACACGGUGGAUGCCCUGGCAGUCAGAGGCGAUGAAGGACGUGCUAAUCUGCGAUAAGCGUCGGUAAGGUGAUAUGAACCGUUAUAACCGGCGAUUUCCGAAUGGGGAAACCCAGUGUGAUUCGUCACACUAUCAUUAACUGAAUCCAUAGGUUAAUGAGGCGAACCGGGGGAACUGAAACAUCUAAGUACCCCGAGGAAAAGAAAUCAACCGAGAUUCCCCCAGUAGCGGCGAGCGAACGGGGAGCAGCCCAGAGCCUGAAUCAGUGUGUGUGUUAGUGGAAGCGUCUGGAAAGGCGUGCGAUACAGGGUGACAGCCCCGUACACAAAAAUGCACAUAUUGUGAGCUCGAUGAGUAGGGCGGGACACGUGGUAUCCUGUCUGAAUAUGGGGGGACCAUCCUCCAAGGCUAAAUACUCCUGACUGACCGAUAGUGAAC